AUUCAAGCGCGAGGAAGCCAAGAUCCAAGCAUGGGAAAACCAUGAGAAAGCCAAGGCUGAAGCUGAAAUGCGCAGAGUGGAGGUUCGUCCCUUGUCUCCUUGAUUGCGUAUUUCUUUUUCAUGGUUCAGGUUAUGCCAAGGUUGCUCCUAUAUAAACUCUGAUAAUGCUGUCAGAAACUAAUGAAAUUCUGGAUCAUUCUGACAAGGCUAUAGUUAUAGCUAUCAUCACACUUAGCUCUGGUUAGCAGAAAGCAUGUCUCAAUAUAAUAUAUAUAAUAUAUAUAAUAUAUAUAAUAUAUAUAAUAUAUAUAUAAUAUAUAUAUACUACCAUUUUUUUCUCAGUCGUCGCUACAGAGACGUAUCUGCCAUACAAAAGACCCUCUUCACAUUCUUCGAAAAUCGGGCAGCUAUGUUGUUACCUUUUCGUGCAGACAAUUCGUAGGGUCGGUGAGAGGAUCGAGCCUGCAACCGUGCAGCAUCGUGACUGUAAAUAGUUGUGAAUCAUAAUUAAAGUAGUAAGUUAUAUCUUGUAAUAAUCCCAUGGGAAAUAAAUCUGACGGUCAAUAUCACACAUAGUUCCUAAUUUCUUGAGAAUUUCAAAGGAGGCCCAGUGUAGACGUCAGUGUAUUAGUUCAUACUCUCUUCAAACCCAGUGGUUUCGAGUUGCUCGUACAUCAGUCAUCAUCAGUAGCGCCAAGCCCUGUGAAUGGAAUGAAGGCCAUCCUGCACUUAACCUUCAUUCAUUACAUUAGCAGACUGAGAGUGGCACUACUGUCAGUCAAUAUCUUUGUCAGUUUCAGAGAAUCCUCUAUCUUGUCCUGUUGAAGUAUUCUAUCCAUGUUUGCAAAAUAUAUAAGCGUAUAUGAUUUAUACUACAGCCUUACACCUUUCAGGUGCCCCGGGUUUCAGGAUGCAAAACGUAGAUUGAACAUCGGUUGACUGUACUGAUUGGAUGAGAAAUCUCACCAGGUGAAGGUGGAGCGAAUGAGGUCGCAUGCAAAUGAAAAACUGAUGAACAAACUAGCAGCUGCCAGACGACGUGCAGAGGAGCUUCGUGCAAAGGCUGAGGCCCUUCGGUGUGAGCAAGCAGCCAAGACAGCUACUCGGUCUGAGGACAUUCGCCGCACGGGGAAAGUCCCAACGUCUUUCUUUGGCCACCUCUGUGGGUGAGAUCCCAGCCGCUGCCAGAUUACGUAGCCUAGCAGCAGCUCCAAAGGUCACCAC
RNAcentral lists this long non-coding RNA (1224 nucleotides) under Physcomitrium patens. RNAcentral's name for it is "long non-coding RNA (PPAT_LNC008818)". Lineage: Eukaryota; Viridiplantae; Streptophyta; Bryopsida; Funariales; Funariaceae. The record is from RNAcentral.